GAUCAUGGCUCAGGAUGAACNCUAGCUACAGGCUUAACACAUGCAAGUCGAGGGGCGGCAUGGUCUUAGCUUGCUAAGGCCGAUGGCGACCGGCGCACGGGUGAGUAACACGUAUCCAACCUGCCGUCUACUCUUGGACAGCCUUCUGAAAGGAAGAUUAAUACAAGAUGGCAUCAUGAGUCCGCAUGUUCACAUGAUUAAAGGUAUUCCGGUAGACGAUGGGGA
This 225-nucleotide ribosomal RNA is filed under the name uncultured bacterium. Its description in RNAcentral is "partial 16S ribosomal RNA". It matches the Rfam family "Bacterial small subunit ribosomal RNA", at positions 15 to 231 of the family's 1533-position model. The record is from RNAcentral.